ACUUAAGUGUUUAACAUGUCACAUGAAACAAAAUUGCCAUUCAUCUCAAACAAUCAACAUAUUUACAUGCAAAUGCCAUCAAAAGGACUUUUCCAAAGCUUGUAAUGAGGUUGGGCUAACAAGAAAGAAUUGGUUUUUCUAGAAUGCAAAAUCCUUGUGUCAAGAGAGCUAUCAAAAUAUUCAACAAUUAAGCACAACUCUCUUACCAAUGUCUCUCAUUCCCAACUUCUUCCCCUUUUCUUUUCUUUUUCAUUGAGCUCAUCUUCAUGUUUUUCUUCUUUUCUUUUCUUUUUCUUUUUCUCAUGAAUUUUUUUCUUUUCACAACAUUUGAGCUCAAUGCUUUUCACUUGNUUUUUCAAUUUUCCCCCGUACAACCCCAAACUUGAACCUUUUCAUCACAUACAAUUAAGCUCAUCCCAACUCAAGGUAAAGAAUUUCAAAACAAGGGUUCACAUCC
This 457-nucleotide long non-coding RNA is filed under the name Vigna radiata. RNAcentral's name for it is "long non-coding RNA (VRAD_LNC016252)". The record is from RNAcentral. Lineage: Eukaryota; Viridiplantae; Streptophyta; Magnoliopsida; Fabales; Fabaceae.